Trachemys scripta elegans is the source of this 3442-nucleotide long non-coding RNA. RefSeq lists it as uncharacterized. Lineage: Eukaryota; Metazoa; Chordata; Testudines; Emydidae. The transcript is spliced from 4 exons. The record is from RefSeq and is a predicted model, not a curated record.
AUGGCCCUUCUACUGUGUUCUCUUCCAAUCCAGGCUCUGUACCCUUUGUAGGGAGUGUAGCUAGUCCAAGCCUGUGGGCUGUGAGGCUGCAGCUGUCUGUGUCACAAGUUCCUUGUGUGAAGGCAGUUUAAGAUUUGCAAGUUUUUGCUCUGGUGCCAGAUGUCAAAGUGAUAAACAAGUUCAGUUGCUUCAUGCCUGCAGAAUUAAUUUUGGUUCUGAUUGGCUGGGGAGUUGCUUGGUCACACCCUCUGAUAAGAACAGGCAGCCACAUAUGGUUUCCUAAGUUUAGUACAGGGGGACUUCUGGAUGACAAUCUUUGAACUUGCUUCAUUUGUGAGUUUGCCUGUGUGAGAAUAGUGCUAUUUCACAGCUGAAAGGGGGACAAUAAAGGCUGCAUGAUGGAAACAUUCAAGUGCAUUGGAGCAGACCUUUGAAAAGCACCUCUAUGAGGGAGAGAUCUGCUUAAAGAAAGCAUUUAACCUACAGAAAUAGAAUAAAGUCCUUUUAAAGAAAACAGAAUUAAUGUUUCUGAAGAAAAAGAGUGUAGUCUAGUUAUUAAAGUGGGGAGACUAGGAGUCAGGAAACCUGAGUUCUGUUCCUGGCUUUGCCAUUGGUGUGUUGUGGGACUUUGGGUAACUGAGCCUCAGUUUUUCCCUUUGUAAAAUGGGGAUAAUCCUACCUGCCUUACAGGGGUGGUGGGAUGGUUGACCAAUGUUUGUGAGGUGCUUGGAGCUCCUCAGAGGAACGGCACCAGAGUUAGAUGGGAAAAAGCAAUAGAAAACGGACCUGACCUACGGAUUAAAUAUAUUGCUUGUGUGCCAAACCCAAAUAUAGUCCACAACACAGUGGAGCUUUCUGCAACAAACCCCUCUGUUAGGAGCAUGUUGUACUGGGAUGGGUCUGAAACCUGACUUCUGUGAAUGAGUCAACAGGAGGGAGUUAGCUGAGAACACGCUGCAGAUACAGUUUUUAGGAGGAGCGAGUGGAUACAGGGAAAUGAGUGCUUAGCUGUCAACCACAGAGCACGCUGCACCUGAACCCAUCCUCCUUCAGCUUAUGCUGCUGGGCCAGGCCCCAGAGUGCAGGGGCUUUGGAGCCUUCAGCGAGGCCCUUGCUGAGCCUCUUCUCAUGUGGCGCCGUGGGAAGACAGUUGUAGUAUAACCUGGUGACACAAUAAUCUCCCCGACGGUACUGCAACCCUGGACAUGCUGUAGUGAAUGUGCACUGUUAGGGGUCAGUCAGCAGCUUUUAAUGUGGCUGGUGGGGAGGGCUUGGAUUUCUGCCCAGCCCCAGUUUUUAUGGCCAGGAGCACAUAGCGACCCAGGCUUUGGUAGGUGGAGUCCCCCACCAUUUUCCUUCCCACCCUGCUGCCGAUCAGAACUGUUUGCUUUAACGACCUGAGCUGCUGCCAAGAGAGCUGACGUACCACCCUUCCUCUCGCAUUCCCUGCAGCUGAACUUUGCUUCCCCUCGGCCUUGCCAGCACUCUCAAUGUUUGUACGAUGAACAGGCACUUUCAGAACUGGAGCUGGGUAAACAAGGACUAGUCGGAAAGCCAAAGUUCAAGGCUGAUCCUUUACUCACAGGAAAGUCUGUGUCUAGGAUGCUGCUGUCACUCCCUCUGGCUUACCCUGGAUUUCUUCUCCUUUUCCAUGUUUCAUGGUUAAAAAGUGGGUUUGGUGCUGGACUUGAGAAAUCCUGUGCUCACGGAAAGGGCACAGCUUAGAGGCAGUGGCAAUCUGAGCUUCUCCCCUCACUGCUCUGCUAACGUGCUGAGCUGCAGAACUACUUGGUGGGCUGAGAGAGUCGUUCAGUUUCCAGGCCUGUUGUAUCCUCGCAUGCGAGUGCCAGCCGUGCUGGGUAUUACUGAGUGAUGUGAACACCGCUCCAUUAGGAAAAACUGAGCCCAUGAACUCAUUCCUAUUGGCCAAAAACCAACCACUGUCUGGUUACAGUGACUGGUCAUUAGUGACCUAGGGGUUUUCCUCUCUUUCAGACCCCUCUUUCCCUGAAUGGCCUCUGAGCAGGGACAGGAUCCCCAGAGCCAUCAUGAUGGUCACCAUUAGCCAUUUCAUGUAUCGGGUUCCUACCCUUAUGUGUGUUAGGUUUGCAUUUCACAGUAGUGAAACAUUCAGGCUUGAAGCUAAGUGAUGUUCUCUGCACAGACUCAGUGAAGGCUCCCUGUGUGUAUGAGGCAUUGCUCACUGUCCGUCCUAUCACCUUCCCCAUUGGCACCCUCCCCUUCAAAUUCCUGUCUAAUGGGAGCUCAGACUGGAAUGGAACUAUGGUUACUGAGCUGGAAAAGCACUGCUUUGUUAAUCACAUUGAGCCAGGCUGUGCUAGCGAUUUCAGGGUCGUUCCCACACUGGCCCCCAACCUAUCUACAGAAGUCACUGCAAGGGGAGGUACAAUAAUGGAAAAGCCAGACAGUGCUAAUGACUCAUCAGCUAGUACAACAGGCUGUGAAAACAUUUUGGCUUACCUUCCUGCCGAUGUUCCAUGCUGCUAACUCAUGGACUCCAGGAUACUACAGUCACAUGGUCUGGUCACUUGAUACUGAACACCACCUGGGACUUUUUGUAACUUUCGGAGUGAAGGGAGGGGGUCAUGUUUGGGAGACAAAGGAUUCCUGCCUUAUGCUAAUCCUAUUUAAGGGAGAGGAAUGAGGUAAUCCUGGUCAUCAGUGCUCCCCGGCUACCCCAUCCAAGAUGACUGCUGGAAACAACUAAAGACUGAACUGGGGACAAGCCCUGGACCCAGACUGGAAGGGUAUCCAGUCUGUGCAAAGCUUCUUGGAACAACUGUGAGGAUUAUUUCUCGUGUCCUUAACUCAAGCAAAGAAAAUGGGUGAACUCCUUCUAAAUGCUCUUGAGAAUCUCUCAGCGGAAAACCUUACAAAAUUUAAAUUCAUGUUGUUAUAUACAAACUUUGAAGAAAAAGGGACUAUCUCCAAACAUCAGCUGGAGGAGGCUGUUCAUGUCACAGAUCUUGUGCAACUUUUGAUAGAAUUCUAUAGUGAAGAUGCAGUGAAUGCAACUCUGAGUUUUUUUUAUAAGAUCUGUGUGAGAGAUUCUGCUGCUAAACCCAGAAAGGCAACAGAGAAAGAUUACAGGGUGAAGUAUAAAGAACAUAUUAAAAAACAGUACCAGUUAAUAAAAGAAAGGAACUCUCGUCUUGGUGAGACUGUGAAUCUAAGCAAAAGGUAUACAAAACUGACUAUUAUAAGCAAGCUUCGUUGCAAAAAGGAGAGAGAACAUGAAAUAAUGGCCUCCAGAUGGAGACAUGCAAAAAUCAUGACUGAACGAGCUCGCUCUUCGGUUACCAUAAACUCCUUAUUUGAUCCUGAAAAUGGACAAACACCACAAAUCGUUGCUCUGCAGGGAGCUGCAGGCAUUGGGAAAACAAUGACUGCAAAAACGAACAGGAGUACUUGUGGCACCUUA